UGAUACGCGAGGAACCUUACCUGGGCUCAAAUGUAUGUUGACGUAUUACUGAAAGGGAUACUUCUUCGGACAAUAUACAAGGUGCUGCAUGGUUGUCGUCAGCUCGUGCCGUGAGGUGUCGGGUUAAGUCCCAUAACGAGCGCAACCCCUAUCAUUAGUUGCCAUCAGGUCAAGCUGGGGACUCUAAUGAAACUGCCUACGCAAGUAGUGAGGAAGGUGGGGAUGACGUCAAAUCAGCACGGCCCUUACGUCCAGGGCUACACACGUGCUACAAUGGCCGGUACAAAGGGCAGCUACCUGGUGACAGGAUGCUAAUCUCAAAAGCCGGUCUCAGUUCGGAUCGGAGUCUGCAACCCGACUCCGUGAAGUUGGAUUCGCUAGUAAUCGCGCAUCAGCCAUGGCGCGGUGAAUACGUUCCCGGGCCUU
RNAcentral lists this ribosomal RNA (426 nucleotides) under uncultured Sphingobacteriales bacterium. Its description in RNAcentral is "bacterial SSU rRNA". It matches the Rfam family "Bacterial small subunit ribosomal RNA", at positions 955 to 1382 of the family's 1533-position model. The record is from RNAcentral. Lineage: Bacteria; Pseudomonadati; Bacteroidota; Sphingobacteriia; Sphingobacteriales.